GCUAAGAAUAUUCCGCAAUGGACGAAAGUCUGACGGAGCGACGCCGCGUGGAUGAGGAAGGCCGAAAGGUUGUAAAGUCCUUUUGUCGAUGAAGAAUAAGUGGUGGAGGGAAUGCCAUCAUGAUGACGUUAGUCGGCGAAUAAGCCCCGGCUAAUUACGUGCCAGCAGCCGCGGUAACACGUAAGGGGCAAGCGUUGUUCGGAAUUAUUGGGCGUAAAGGGUACGUAGGCGGUUAUGUAAGCCCGGCGUGAAAUCCUGCAGCUUAACUGUAGAGCUGCGCUGGGAACUGCGUAACUUGAGUCAUGGAAGGGAAGUUAGAAUUCCAGGUGUAGGGGUGAAAUCUGUAGAUAUCUGGAAGAAUACCGGUGGCGAAGGCGAACUUCUGGCCAAUGACUGACGCUGAGGUACGAAAGUGCGGGGAGCAAACAGGAUUAGAUACCCGUGUAGUCC
RNAcentral lists this ribosomal RNA (450 nucleotides) under uncultured bacterium. Its description in RNAcentral is "partial 16S ribosomal RNA". It matches the Rfam family "Bacterial small subunit ribosomal RNA", at positions 354 to 796 of the family's 1533-position model. The record is from RNAcentral.